GGCCUGGUGGUCUAGUAGUAUGAUUCCUUGUUAGGGUAAAUACGUUUCGAGGAGGUCCCGGGUUCAAUUCCCGGCCAGGCCC
Molecule: transfer RNA, 82 nt
Filed under: Suillus luteus UH-Slu-Lm8-n1
Lineage: Eukaryota; Fungi; Basidiomycota; Agaricomycetes; Boletales; Suillaceae
Also listed under: 1 other name
Description: tRNA-Pro
Rfam family: tRNA
About the family: Transfer RNA (tRNA) molecules are approximately 80 nucleotides in length.
Source: RNAcentral